This is a long non-coding RNA of Pseudophryne corroboree (corroboree frog), 505 nucleotides long. RefSeq lists it as uncharacterized. The record is from RefSeq and is a predicted model, not a curated record. Lineage: Eukaryota; Metazoa; Chordata; Amphibia; Anura; Myobatrachidae. The transcript has 5 exons.
AAGGAGUCCCUCAGCAACAGAGGUGUUACCGGGGCAACGCGGCCGGGACCCGAGACGUCACCAUGUGACGCCACUUCCGGCGGAAGUGGUCACUCCAGGUGGGCGGACGAACGGGCCCGGAAUGGCGCAGCCAGCGGGAGCCAGACAUGGGGGAGGACGGAAGGGUGUUACCGGGGCAACGCGGCCGGGACCCGAGACGUCACCAUGUGACGCCACUUCCGGCGGAAGUGGUCACACCAGGUGGGCGGACGAACGGGCCCGGAAUGGCGCAGCCAGCGGGAGCCAGACAUGGGGGAGGACGGAAGGGGUGUCUCAUUGUUGGAUUUAGGAUCCAUAUUUUGAUUUUGACCAAGUUGGCUGAUUUUUUGUUCUUUUUUCAAAUUGAUUUGUAACUUCAUUGAUUGACAGGGUGUCUCAUUGUUGGAUUUAGGAUCCAUAUUUUGAUUUUGACCAAGUUGGCUGAUUUUUUGUUCUUUUUUUCAAAUUAAUUUGUAACUUCAUUGAU